GAUGAACGCUGGCGGCGUGCCUAAUACAUGCAAGUCGAGCGAACAGAUGAGGAGCUUGCUCCUCUGACGUUAGCGGCGGACGGGUGAGUAACACGUGGAUAACCUACCUAUAAGACUGGGAUAACUUCGGGAAACCGGAGCUAAUACCGGAUAAUAUAUUGAACCGCAUGGUUCAAUAGUGAAAUACGGUUUUGCUGUCACUUAUAGAUGGAUCCGCGCCGCAUUAGCUAGUUGGUAAGGUAACGGCUUACCAAGGCAACGAUGCGUAGCCGACCUGAGAGGGUGAUCGGCCACACUGGAACUGAGACACGGUCAAGACUCCUACGGGAGGCAGCAGUAGGGAAUCUUCCGAAAUGGGCGAAAGCCUGACGGAGAAACGCCGCGUGAGUGAUGAAGGUCUUCGGAUCGUAAAACUCUGUUAUUAGGGAAGAACAAAUGUGUAAGUAACUAUGCACGUCUUGACGGUACCUAAUCAGAAAGCCACGGCUAACUACGUG
Molecule: ribosomal RNA, 497 nt
Filed under: uncultured bacterium
Lineage: Bacteria
Description: partial 16S ribosomal RNA
Rfam family: Bacterial small subunit ribosomal RNA
Source: RNAcentral